AAAGUCGUAACAAGGUCUCCGUAGGUGAACCUGCGGAGGGAUCAUUACCAAAGAUGGCGGGCCUCCGGGCCCCCGUCCCCAACCCUUUGUUGACCAAAACCUUUUUUGCCUCGGGGGCAGAGCGUCCGCCGCCGCCCCCGGAGGACCACCGAACGCUGUCUCUUUACGUCGGAGUAUUGAUUGAAUAGAUGAAAA
RNAcentral lists this unclassified non-coding RNA (195 nucleotides) under plant metagenome. Its description in RNAcentral is "partial contains small subunit ribosomal RNA and internal transcribed spacer 1". The stretch from base 1 to 47 matches the Rfam family "Eukaryotic small subunit ribosomal RNA", at positions 1785 to 1831 of the family's 1831-position model. The record is from RNAcentral.